CGAAAGCCUGACGGAGCAACGCCGCGUGAGGGACUAAGGCCUUUGGGCUGUAAACCUCUUUUCUCAAGGAAGAAGAUCUGACGGUACUUGAGGAAUAAGCCACGGCUAAUUCCGUGCCAGCAGCCGCGGUAAUACGGGAGUGGCAAGCGUUAUCCGGAAUUAUUGGGCGUAAAGCGUCCGCAGGCGGCCAAGCAAGUCUGUUGUUAAAGCGUGGAGCUCAACUCCAUCACUGCAAUGGAAACUGCUAGGCUUGAGUGUGGCAGGGGCAGAGGGAAUUUCCGGUGUAGCGGUGAAAUGCGUAGAUAUCGGGAGGAACACCAGUGGCGAAAGCGCUCUGCUGGCCCAUUACUGACGCUCAUGGACGAAAGCCAGGGGAGCAAAAGGGAUUAGAUACCCCUGUAGUCCUGGCCGUAAACGAUGAACACUAGGUGUCGGGGGAAUCGACCCCCUCGGUGUCGUAGCUAACGCGUUAAGUGUUCCGCCUGGGGAGUACGCACGCAAGUGUGAAACUCAAAGGAAUUGACGGGGGCCCGCACAAGCGGUGGAGUAUGUGGUUUAAUUCGAUGCAACGCGAAGAACCUUACCAAGGCUUGACAUCCUGCAAAUCUCCAAGAAAUUGGAGAGUGCCUUCGGGAAUGCAGAGACAGGUGGUGCAUGGCUGUCGUCAGCUCGUGUCGUGAGGUGUUGGGUUAAGUCCCGCAACGAGCGCAACCCACGUUUUUAGUUGCCAGCAUUCAGUUGGGUACUCUAGAAAGACUGCCGGUGAUAAACCGGAGGAAGGUGUGGACGACGUCAAGUCAUCAUGCCCCUUACGCCUUGGGCUACACACGUACUACAAUGCUACGGACAAAGAGCAGCCAGCUCGCAAGAGUCAGCAAAUCUCCUUAACUGUAGCUCAGUUCAGAUCGUAGGCUGCAACUCGCCUACGUGAAGCAGGAAUCGCUAGUAAUCGCAGGUCAGCAUACUGCGGUGAAUACGUCCCCGGGCCUUGUACACACCGCCCGUCACACCAUGGAAGUUGGCCACGCCCGAAGUCGUUACUCCAACCGCAAGGAGGAGGGCGCCGAAGGCAGGGCUGAUGACUGGGGUGAAGUCGUAACAAGGUAGCCGUAGCGGAAGCUGCGGCUGGAUCACCUCCUAA
RNAcentral lists this ribosomal RNA (1141 nucleotides) under Candidatus Synechococcus spongiarum. Its description in RNAcentral is "bacterial SSU rRNA". It matches the Rfam family "Bacterial small subunit ribosomal RNA", at positions 376 to 1533 of the family's 1533-position model. Lineage: Bacteria; Bacillati; Cyanobacteriota; Cyanophyceae; Synechococcales; Synechococcaceae. The record is from RNAcentral.